RNAcentral lists this long non-coding RNA (1616 nucleotides) under Leguminivora glycinivorella. Its description in RNAcentral is "uncharacterized LOC125236233". The record is from RNAcentral. Lineage: Eukaryota; Metazoa; Arthropoda; Insecta; Lepidoptera; Tortricidae.
UACAUAGUUUUUUUGGUUUGGUUUUUUUUUUAGUUUGUUCACCUGAAGGGUUGAGACAAGUAGGUGUCGUCAACCUGUAGGGCUGUAACAAUGAUUUUGGUUUGGUUUUGGAAGUUAUAGUCGGAAGCCUAUAACUUUGGUUUCGCCCGGUCUAGCUGAGUUUUUUCUUGGAAUGCUGAACAUCGGUCCUGGCGGUUGGUUUUUUGGCUUUCUCAGCACAACAAGCUUUAUUGCAAGUUGCACUGAGAAGGCCAACGGUUGGUUUACUGUUUUGGAAAUUAGCGGAGGUUUUUUUCUAUAUGCAGCGCAGUUGGCCGCAUAGUUUUUUCACCCUCCGAGGGUUGACGCGGGUUCGAGAUUUUUUUUUUAAUAUUUUUUUUUGUGGUCAAACAGUAGUUUGCUUGUUUUUAAAUACCUUUUGGUAUAAUUUUGUAGAUAUUGGGGGAUUUUUUUUUUGAGAUUUUACAGUCUCGAACUUGCGUCAGGUUUUUUUGAUUCUGAUAUUUUUUUGGUAGGUUUAGUUUCCUUGCCUUCAGAUUUUGUUUUUUUUUAUGAAAGUCGCUGAGGACAGCGAGCGGUUCACCUACGUUGAACCUUAAAUCGGGAAGGGGGGUAUUGUAACGUAGCAGAUUUUUUGAUAGUCGUAAUUAAAUAUUUUGGAUAGAUUUAAUUUUUGAAUGAAACACUUCCUUCUCGUUCAUUGCAUUAUCUGUUGCACUUCAAAUGCACAUAUUUAUGUUUAUCUGUUGUAGGGUUGCCAUACAACAAGUAUUAUUCGAAAUUGUAGGUAUUUUGGCUGUCAUUCCAGGAAAACUUUGUAUAGUUUUGAUAUACUUUAAGUAUUGAUUUUUGGAAAAUAUAAUAUUUUAGAGACAUGAUAACAAAUGUUAUCAUAGGUUUUUUAAGGCUGUUCUGGAAUGAUAUUUGUUAGGUUUUGUUUACUUCAAGGUCUGAUACAGAAACUGGAGUAAUUUUCAUUUAAUGAAUUAGAGUAUUUUAUUGUUUAUUCGUUUGCCACCCGGCUUUUGUUUUGGGUCCUUUAAAUUCGAGAUCAUUCAGUGCGCCGUUCUUUCUGUGACGAGAUCCUCUUGUAUAGUGAUCGGACGGCCGUAUAAGGGCCUGGAGCCCGGCAUGCCACGUGCUGCCGUGGCGUUCCAUAUUUUGUGUGGUGCGUUCUGUCAGUCUGACUGGCAGAAACAUGCUAAGGGUGGGAGUGCUCCUUGGAGAUCCUCGGUCUGCAGUCUGCAGGUCUCCGGAGUCGGGAAGAAGUAAAGAAUUAGAGAAUUGCAGAAGUAGAUAAUUAAACAAGAACCUUUACAAUUUCGAUGUGCAAGGAAACUUCUUUGGCUUACUGGCGCAAGGUGUCUUUGGACCUUGUUUUCGUAUGGAAGGGUCAGCCCUGUCCACGUGGCGAGGGGGCGUCAGCACCGGAGUCCGGGGAGCAGCCGGCUCAUCCCUGACAAGGUGUGUCUCCUGCCCGUUUCCUGCCGGUAAUGCUGUGUAAUUCAGGUUUUUAAUUUCUGUGUAAAGUAAUUUCUGAUUUCAUUUAUUUUGAGAAUUCUGGUGCAUAACUUUAGGUAAAUUCAUAUUUAGUUUUUGUAGAAUAAAUGGUUGUA